RNAcentral lists this long non-coding RNA (2081 nucleotides) under Olea europaea (common olive). RNAcentral describes it as "long non-coding RNA (OEUR_LNC007812)". The record is from RNAcentral. Lineage: Eukaryota; Viridiplantae; Streptophyta; Magnoliopsida; Lamiales; Oleaceae.
AGUAUUGUUGUAAAGAAGCCACAACCUGCUCGGACAGCUCAUGCUUGAGGAUACUUGUCCUUCAACCACAUUUUUCUUCACCCUUAAGUAUCACUCACGACCCCAAUCUUUAAGACUACUUAUAUUUCUCUUAAAUAGGACAUUUAACCCUCCAAAAUUAUCUCAAAGUGACCCCAAGUGCAAGAGAGAUCAAGGGAAGCAAAGAGAUAGAAAGAAACAAGAAGCUGGAAUUCUGGACAGCUGAAUUACUUCACUAUUUUGAGGUUGGUAUCCAUUAUUUUUGAGGGGUUUAUAAUCUCUUGAACAUCUGAACUUGAUUCUAAUUAGAUGGUACGGUUGUUGAUGAUUUUAUGAUGGCAAAAUAAGAGCAAUUAUUUACAAGAAAUUGAAAGAAAACGAAAAUUGUCACAAGGAAAACUGCCUAAUUUGAUGUUGUGGAAAAAGGACGGUUUUGGAGGAUGAAAACACUUCACUUAUCAAAAAUUUAUGACAUGAUUACCUUCAUAUACAUGUUAUAGAAAUAUGGUAAAAAUUUGGGAGUCAUUGCAUAUGGUUAAGGGGGUGAAAAAUGAUUGGAAAAAUAGUUGGAUGGUGAUGGAAAACAGAAAAACGGAUUCUGUCCAUUUCGUGUUUGAUGUAGUUUCAACCUUUACAUGUCCAUUAAUCAUCUCUUGGGCCUAGAAAAUAGAUUCUAAAGAGUACUAGGUUGUUGACAAUAAUUUCAUGAUGUUGACGUUCAUAAUUGGAUUUGAGAAAUAGUGAGAUUUAUGGGGCUAGUUUGUAAUGACUUCAGUAACUUAAAAUUAUAAUAUCGUCUAAAUUGUUUUGGCAUGAAUGGAUAUAUUUUGGGAUUGUGUGUGUGUUAAGGUUAUUAAAUAGAGGAUUGUCUUUAAUAUUAGAUGGUAAUACAGGUGAUUUUUCGACGUUGAGUGAAAAAAAAAAUGAUAUACACUUCAUUGGAGUUUGCACACACAAAGGCGAAAGGUAAAUAAAAAUUCAUUUCCAACUACGAUGCAAGAACCUAGUAUUUGUGAUAUGAUAAUAUUGGAAUAUUUACAUAACUUUGAUAAGAGACUUAUUGCACAUCAUAUGAUGGUUAUGAUUAUUGAGUAUGAGGUUGCGGAGCCUAUUGAUAUCAAUUUUUAUUAAAUAUGUCAUUCAUAAGCAUUUUCAUCUGUAUGCAUGACAUGUGAUCAUGGUUGAAAAUCCUGCAUGUGAAACAUGAUUUCAAAUUGUGCUUUCCUUAUAAAUGUUUUAUUGACCACUACUAGGGCACUGAUGCAUGUAAAGUAUGUUUAUAUGAUAUGUUUUGGUAUCGCGGUUGAUAUUUUCUGGAUGAUUACAAAGGUAGACAGGCGAUGGGCCUUUGGUGAUCACAGGAGGGUGGACCACUCUACUGUGCUAUUGUGAUAUUAUGAUUAUUGGUGCUGCUGGGUGGGAUACUUCUUAGGGGAUCAUAGAGUUAGUUAGGGGAUGGACCUCUAGUGGUUAUGAGAGGAUGGUCCACGCACCGGUGUCGAUUUCAUAUCGACCAUUUAAUUAUUGAUUAUUGAUAUUGAUAUUACGCAAAGCUCAAUUCGAUGCAUAGUAGGUGGGUUAAGGGCCCAGUGAAAUGAAAGAUUUCAAAUGAAAUGAUUUCGAGUUGACUUUGAUGAAUAUUGAAAUAUGAUGUAUCUUUAGCUUGAUGUUUAAAGUAAAUGGCAUGGCGUCAUAUAUCAUUGUUACUCAUACUCAUGACAUGGAUGAUUUUUGCUUACUAAGCAUUGGCUUAUGUAGUUCUUGCAUUGUAGGUAAGGAUGGAACUACAUAGAGAACACGGCUAGCUGUGGAGCUCUUAUGGGAUUCUAGAGUUCGAUAUACAUGGAUGAUGACCAGUAGUGCUACUUUGUGGGCUGUUGUUUUGAGCUUGCAGUCUAUUGUGUUAUAUUUUGGGGAUCCCGUAUUUUAUACCCUUUUUGAAAUUGCUUGUAGAUAUAACCUCAGAACAUGUAUGUUGGAUUUUCGUUAUAUGAUAUUUGAUUUCGCUGUACCAUAUGAUCGUCACAGGUUAGUAGGAGUUAACAAAUGGAGACAUAAUUGUG